This 83-nucleotide transfer RNA is filed under the name Candidatus Cloacimonadota bacterium. RNAcentral's name for it is "tRNA-Ser". It matches the Rfam family "tRNA". Rfam says of the family: Transfer RNA (tRNA) molecules are approximately 80 nucleotides in length. Their secondary structure includes four short double-helical elements and three loops (D, anti-codon, and T loops). RNAcentral also lists the same sequence under 1 other name. The record is from RNAcentral. Lineage: Bacteria; Pseudomonadati; Candidatus Cloacimonadota.
GGAGGAAUAGUCUAACUGGUAAGGCAGCGGUCUUGAAAACCGCCGGGCUUGCGCCCUUGGGGGUUCGAGUCCCCCUUCCUCCG